This 1378-nucleotide ribosomal RNA is filed under the name Salmonella enterica. RNAcentral's name for it is "partial 23S ribosomal RNA". It matches the Rfam family "Bacterial large subunit ribosomal RNA", at positions 1570 to 2925 of the family's 2925-position model. RNAcentral also lists the same sequence under 1 other name. The record is from RNAcentral. Lineage: Bacteria; Pseudomonadati; Pseudomonadota; Gammaproteobacteria; Enterobacterales; Enterobacteriaceae.
GAGGCACUACGGUGCUGAAGCAACAAAUGCCCUGCUUCCAGGAAAAGCCUCUAAGCAUCAGGUAACAUCAAAUCGUACCCCAAACCGACACAGGUGGUCAGGUAGAGAAUACCAAGGCGCUUGAGAGAACUCGGGUGAAGGAACUAGGCAAAAUGGUGCCGUAACUUCGGGAGAAGGCACGCUGACACGUAGGUGAAGUGAUUUACUCACGGAGCUGAAGUCAGUCGAAGAUACCAGCUGGCUGCAACUGUUUAUUAAAAACACAGCACUGUGCAAACACGAAAGUGGACGUAUACGGUGUGACGCCUGCCCGGUGCCGGAAGGUUAAUUGAUGGGGUCAGCGCAAGCGAAGCUCCUGAUCGAAGCCCCGGUAAACGGCGGCCGUAACUAUAACGGUCCUAAGGUAGCGAAAUUCCUUGUCGGGUAAGUUCCGACCUGCACGAAUGGCGUAAUGAUGGCCAGGCUGUCUCCACCCGAGACUCAGUGAAAUUGAACUCGCUGUGAAGAUGCAGUGUACCCGCGGCAAGACGGAAAGACCCCGUGAACCUUUACUAUAGCUUGACACUGAACAUUGAGCCUUGAUGUGUAGGAUAGGUGGGAGGCUUUGAAGUGUGGACGCCAGUCUGCAUGGAGCCGACCUUGAAAUACCACCCUUUAAUGUUUGAUGUUCUAACGUGGACCCGUGAUCCGGGUUGCGGACAGUGUCUGGUGGGUAGUUUGACUGGGGCGGUCUCCUCCUAAAGAGUAACGGAGGAGCACGAAGGUUGGCUAAUCCUGGUCGGACAUCAGGAGGUUAGUGCAAUGGCAUAAGCCAGCUUGACUGCGAGCGUGACGGCGCGAGCAGGUGCGAAAGCAGGUCAUAGUGAUCCGGUGGUUCUGAAUGGAAGGGCCAUCGCUCAACGGAUAAAAGGUACUCCGGGGAUAACAGGCUGAUACCGCCCAAGAGUUCAUAUCGACGGCGGUGUUUGGCACCUCGAUGUCGGCUCAUCACAUCCUGGGGCUGAAGUAGGUCCCAAGGGUAUGGCUGUUCGCCAUUUAAAGUGGUACGCGAGCUGGGUUUAGAACGUCGUGAGACAGUUCGGUCCCUAUCUGCCGUGGGCGCUGGAGAACUGAGGGGGGCUGCUCCUAGUACGAGAGGACCGGAGUGGACGCAUCACUGGUGUUCGGGUUGUCAUGCCAAUGGCACUGCCCGGUAGCUAAAUGCGGAAGAGAUAAGUGCUGAAAGCAUCUAAGCACGAAACUUGCCCCGAGAUGAGUUCUCCCUGAGACUUAGAGUCUCCUGAAGGAACGUUGAAGACGACGACGUUGAUAGGCCGGGUGUGUAAGCGCAGCGAUGCGUUGAGCUAACCGGUACUAAUGAACCGUGAGGCUUAACCUU